AUUGAACGCUGGCGGCAUGCUUUACACAUGCAAGUCGAACGGUAACAGGCCGCAAGGUGCUGACGAGUGGCGAACGGGUGAGUAAUGUAUCGGAACGUGCCCAGUCGUGGGGGAUAACGCAGCGAAAGCUGCGCUAAUACCGCAUACGAUCUAUGGAUGAAAGCGGGGGACCGUAAGGCCUCGCGCGAUUGGAGCGGCCGAUAUCAGAUUAGGUAGUUGGUGGGGUAAAGGCUCACCGAGCCAACGAUCUGUAGCUGGUCUGAGAGGACGACCAGCCACACUGGGACUGAGACACGACCCAGACUCCUACGGGAGGCAGCAGUGGGGAAUUUUGGACAACGGGCGCAAGCCUGAUCCAGCAAUGCCGCGUGCAGGAAGAAGGCCUUCGGGUUGUAAACUGCUUUUGUACGGAACGAAACGGUCUGGGUUAAUACCUCGGGCUAAUGACGGUACCGUAAGAAUAAGCACCGGCUAACUACGUGCCAGCCGCCGCGGUAA
Molecule: ribosomal RNA, 498 nt
Filed under: uncultured bacterium
Lineage: Bacteria
Description: partial 16S ribosomal RNA
Rfam family: Bacterial small subunit ribosomal RNA
Source: RNAcentral